Molecule: ribosomal RNA, 535 nt
Filed under: uncultured bacterium
Lineage: Bacteria
Description: bacterial SSU rRNA
Rfam family: Bacterial small subunit ribosomal RNA
Source: RNAcentral
GCCAUGCCGCGUGUGUGAAGAAGGCCUUCGGGUUGUAAAGCACUUUAAGCGGGGAGGAAGGUUCGCCACCUAAUACGUGGCGGAAUUGACGUUACCCGCAGAAUAAGCACCGGCUAACUCUGUGCCAGCAGCCGCGGUAAUACAGAGGGUGCAAGCGUUAAUCGGAAUUACUGGGCGUAAAGCGCGCGUAGGUGGUUGUGUAAGUUGGAUGUGAAAGCCCCGGGCUUAACCUGGGAAUGGCAUUCAAAACUGCACGGCUAGAGUACGGGAGAGGGGGGUAGAAUUCCAGGUGUAGCGGUGAAAUGCGUAGAGAUCUGGAGGAAUACCGAUGGCGAAGGCAGCCCCCUGGCCUGAUACUGACACUGAGGUGCGAAAGCAUGGGGAGCAAACAGGAUUAGAUACCCUGGUAGUCCAUGCCGUAAACGAUGUCGACUAGGUGUUGGGGAACUUGAUUCCUUAGUGCCGCAGCUAACGCAUUAAGUCGACCGCCUGGGGAGUACGGCCGCAAGGUUAAAACUCAAAGGAAUUUGACGGA